Molecule: long non-coding RNA, 287 nt
Filed under: Hordeum vulgare
Lineage: Eukaryota; Viridiplantae; Streptophyta; Magnoliopsida; Poales; Poaceae
Description: long non-coding RNA (HVUL_LNC004287)
Source: RNAcentral
UCCAUUUGUACAAGAACAUGCACAUAUUUUUUGCUCCAUUUUCAUUCUUCUUUGACAAAGCUUGCCUACCAAGUUCCACGAGGUACUACUAACCCUCUCUCUUCUUCAGCUACGACUGAACAAGACUGCAUGUACAGAUAUUCACAUAACAAACACGACGAACAAACACACAUUCAGGCUAACUCGGGUGAAAGCUUCUGCAAUCCCAGCUUCACCACAGACCUGUAGACCUAGAGUAAAGGAUCUACUUACUAAACUCAACUCCAGCACCACCGCUGCUUCGGCCC